RNAcentral lists this ribosomal RNA (253 nucleotides) under uncultured bacterium. RNAcentral describes it as "partial 16S ribosomal RNA". It matches the Rfam family "Bacterial small subunit ribosomal RNA", at positions 524 to 776 of the family's 1533-position model. The record is from RNAcentral.
UACGUAGGGUGCGAGCGUUGUCCGGAAUUAUUGGGCGUAAAGAGCUUGUAGGCGGUCUGUCGCGUCUGCUGUGAAAAUCCGGGGCUCAACCCCGGACCUGCAGUGGGUACGGGCAGACUAGAGUGUGGUAGGGGAGACUGGAAUUCCUGGUGUAGCGGUGAAAUGCGCAGAUAUCAGGAAGAACACCCAUGGCGAAGGCAGGUCUCUGGGCCAGAACUGACGCUGAGAAGCGAAAGCAAGGGGAGCGAACAGG